UGCACCAGGAGAGGUGCCCACUGAGGAGGCGCUGACAGAUAUCAGAGCUUUUACCUGGAUGACCUGCUGAGUUAAAGCUCAGUGUUGGAAAGUUACUGUGUGCGUGAGAAAGUGUGGCAGCUGCCGUGUCGGUGAAGAAGACUCACCUCCUGCUGAAGAUCCUCAGGCCGGUGAAGGUCUUGCUGGUGUGUUGGCAGCGGGGGGCGGGGGCCACAGAGGGCAGCUCGGAGGCUGGGGAGGACGAGGUGGAGGAGGCGGCAGAGGUGGAGGUGAAGUGCCCCUCUCCUCCAUCCUGCAGCGAGGUGUGCUGGGCAGGCUGCUCCUCCUCCGGCUGCUGAUCCAUGUCCUGGCGGAGCUCCCUCUCUGCCUCUCUGCUACUUCUUCUCUCACAAACUCAGCUGGUCCGAGGUCAGCGCAGAGCUCACGCAGCCCGAGCAGCAGUCAGCCAUUCUGACAGCUUCCCUCCUCUGCAGCAGCUGCUCAAACUUUUAGUUUCUCAAAGCGGCAGACACAGGAAGUACAGCUUCAGGUCUACCGUGUGCCUCAGCUAAGCUUCAGUUUACAGCAGGAAGCAGCAGCAGCAGAAGCGUUCAAAACAAAAGCAACUCUUCUGUGUUACAGCCUCAAGGUUUUACAUAAAGAUGGUGAACCAGCCCACACCAGGAGAGAGAGAGAGAGAGAGAGAGUACCGCAGUAAAGCAGAGGUCACACGGCCGCUGCGAGACCCACGCAGAGCACUUCACCACGUGCACGUGGCGGCUUCAUCCCCUGGGUUCCUGCUCCGAGGUGGAACUGAAGGAUGAGCCCGGGUUAUUUUUGAAAGCCAAUUAAAAUGGAGGUGCAGCGGCCAAAAGGACGGGUGCUGAGAUCGAGUCCUCUCCCUUAAAAAGAUCCGUCAAACAUGUUUUAAAUAAAACACCCUGCUCUGAGUA
Long non-coding RNA from Micropterus dolomieu (smallmouth bass), 932 nucleotides. RefSeq lists it as uncharacterized. The record is from RefSeq and is a predicted model, not a curated record. Lineage: Eukaryota; Metazoa; Chordata; Actinopteri; Centrarchiformes; Centrarchidae. The transcript has 2 exons.